CAGCUGAUGCAGCCAUGCCGCGUGUAUGAAGAAGGCCUUCGGGUUGUAAAGUACUUUCAGCGAGGAGGAAGGGGAUGUGGUUAAUAACCGCAUUCAUUGACGUUACUCGCAGAAGAAGCACCGGCUAACUCCGUGCCAGCAGCCGCGGUAAUACGGAGGGUGCAAGCGUUAAUCGGAAUUACUGGGCGUAAAGCGCACGCAGGCGGUCUGUCAAGUCGGAUGUGAAAUCCCCGGGCUCAACCUGGGAACUGCAUCCGAAACUGGCAGGCUAGAGUCUUGUAGAGGGGGGUAAAAUUCCAGGUGUAG
Molecule: ribosomal RNA, 306 nt
Filed under: Citrobacter sp.
Lineage: Bacteria; Pseudomonadati; Pseudomonadota; Gammaproteobacteria; Enterobacterales; Enterobacteriaceae
Description: bacterial SSU rRNA
Rfam family: Bacterial small subunit ribosomal RNA
Source: RNAcentral